This 78-nucleotide small RNA is filed under the name Salmonella enterica subsp. enterica serovar Infantis. Its description in RNAcentral is "isrK". It matches the Rfam family "isrK Hfq binding RNA". The record is from RNAcentral. Lineage: Bacteria; Pseudomonadati; Pseudomonadota; Gammaproteobacteria; Enterobacterales; Enterobacteriaceae.
GCUGCCGCUAAAUCGGCAGCCGGGCGUAGGAACCCGAGUUACUUCAAGGCGACAUAUGACGCGCCAUGCGUCUUUUUU